Molecule: long non-coding RNA, 3042 nt
Organism: Orcinus orca (killer whale)
Lineage: Eukaryota; Metazoa; Chordata; Mammalia; Artiodactyla; Delphinidae
Exons: 2
Source: RefSeq, a predicted model, not a curated record
AUCUGGGCCCCAGAUCGUGGUCCGCCUGGCCAGGACCAAUGUGAACUUUCUCUCACACCACCCUUCCUUCUCAAAGGACAAAUAUUAUUGCUCUCCCUCUUUUUUGCCUUCUUUUGAGCUCUUUGAAGAACCACUUCUUGACACAUUCUUGCCUGUCUAUAGUCACUUUAACAGAGGUGCCCCAGACACCGCUUAAUCCCUGAUAGUAAUCAGUCAUAGUCGGGAAGGCGUGCUUAGACAUAUCCCAAGGCUUCAGAUAAGUUCCUCUCUUUGGAUAUUCGGACAAGACCUUUUCCCUCAGUGGGGACUCACUUGGACCCCCAGAGUUGGUAUAAAGUGAGAACAUUUGAACUACAGAAGAUACAGAAAGAAAUUUUAUCUGAGUUUCUCUUAAUCUGACUAAAGCAAAUCCUCCUGAAAAUACAGCUACCUUUCAACCCUUUCCAAGGGAGUUUCCUGCUAAUUCAGUUGCCCUGGAGACAGAAUGUCCAUUGCAAUUAGCAUCAAAAAGCCCAGUAGAACCUUCCAUACUCUCCCACUGAAGUCCUAAAAACCCCCCUUUUGUUAAAUUGAGAUGUAUACAGUUACUUCAGGCUCUUCCAGGAGGUUUCCAUUAUUGGAAACUGCCCCCCCAUGCUAAAUAAAUCUUGUCUUUUCUCUUUUUAAUCUGUCUAUUGUCAGUUAAUUUGCAGGACCCAAUCACUGGACUCAAAUUGGAAGAGGCAAAAGGUUUUCCUCCCAACACUCCCGGGUUGGGUUCUCCAGGAAGCAGACACUGAUAUGGAGUUGAGAGUACAGAUCUCCUGGAGUGUAACGCCAGAGAAAGUCAGGGGAAGCAGCAGGAUUGGUCUGUGAGGGCUGUCAAACCACGAUGCAGACCUCACAAGGUCUCCGCCGGCCCGAUGGGAGCAAGAGACUAGCCUCGGGCAGAAAAGCCUAGGCCCUUGUACCACUGCUUUGGAUGUUCAUUGGCAGGGGCCGCUGGAGCAGUGCCUGACUUCAGCUUAGUCACUGAGGUGAAUCCUGAAGGAGCUACAGCUGGAGGCGCUCAGCUAAACACACUCCUUGCAGCUGGGGAGCAAGCCCUGCCUUGAAGGGAAAUCUGAGUGACGCCCUGUGUCCGCUCUAGUCCACCUUUCGUGCCAUGUGGAUCUGUUUCUCCAUCUGUACUUGGGAAACAGCUUUUUCAGCACUCCGAUGGGCCACUCUUCCUGAAAAAUAACUUAGAAGAGGGAAGUUAAUGGAAUGAACUACGGCUUCUGUCAUUGCACCUGGUUGUAGGACCACAACUGGCCCUCAUCACUUCCCUCCACAACCAUCCAUUUCUUUUUCUUUUUUUAUUGAAAUAUAUUUGAUUUACAAUAUUGUAUUAAUUUCAGGUGUUCAGAAAAGUGAUUCGGUUAUACAUAUGUAUAUAUCUAUAUUCUUUUUUUUUUGAUUCUUCUCUAUUGUUGUUUAUUACAAGGUAUUGAAUAUAGUUCCCGGUGCUAUGCAGUAAAUCCUUGUUGUUUAUCUAUUUUAUAUAUAGUAGUGUGCAUCUGUUAAUCUCAUACUCCCGAUUUAUCCCUCCCUUCCCUUCCCCUUGGGUAACCAUAAGUUUAUUUUCUGUGUCUGUGAGUCUAUUUCUGUUUUGUAAAAAAGUUCACUUGUACUAUUUUUUAGAUUCCACAUAUAAGUGAUAUCAUAUAGUAUUUGUCUUUCUCUGACUUAUUUUACUUAGUAUGAUAAUGUCUAGGUCCAUCCACGUUGCUACAAAUGGCAUUAUUUCAUUCUUUUUUAUGGCUAAUAUCCUAUUGUAUAUACUACAUCUUUAUCCAUUUGCUGAUGGACACUUAGGUUGCUUCCAUGCCUUGGCUGUUGUAAAUAGUGUUCCUAAGAACAUUGGGGUGCAUGUAUCUUUUCAAAUUAGAACUUUCAUCUUUUCCAGGUAUAUACCCAGGAGCGUGAUUGCUGGAUCAUAUGGUAGCUCUAUUUGUAGUUUUCUCAGGAACCUCCAUACUGUUCUCCAUAGUGGCUGCACCAGUUCACAUCCCCGCCAGCCGUGCAGGAGGGCUCCCUCUUCUCCACACCCUCCCCAGCAUUUGUUGUUUCUAGACUUUUCGAUGAUGGUACCACUAUCCAUUUCUAAUUCCCCUCACCCUGAGGUGGUCUCAGUAGAUCACCUGGGUGGGCACCCCAAACCCUCAUUCCUAAGAGGUCCAAGCACCUUCUCAGACCACUGUUGCUGCUCUUGUCUUGUCUAUUCACAGUCACAGUUGGGCAAAAGAGUACCAACUGACACACAAAUAGGUCCCUGGAGUACACACAUAUUCCUCUCUGCCCCCUCUAACAGCAGCCCUACCUCUUCCUGCUGACCAGGUCAAUUACCUCUGAUAAGACAGUGAUUCCUUGUCUUACUGCUGGUCUCUCAGCAUUAGGAGGGCAAAGUGCCUGGUGACAGCCAUAACGUGUAAUCCAAUGGGAUAUUUGCUGUAUCCCCAGGCAAGAAUGUGCCCCUUUUGGGGACCAAGACUUCUAAUUUCGCAGAACCCGGAAUUGUGGGGACAGGGAAGCUCAGUGGAUUUGUAGGAGAGCAAAACUUGCCGCCCCCUAAUAUCACUUUAGCAUGUGGAUUAUUUCCAGCUGAAAAUAAUCAAGGCCCAAAAGACUCAGGAAGAAACUCUGACCUUCCCACAACUGCCUAAAAAAAAUUUAGAUAGAGGGUCUGUUCCCAAAUAGAGCUAUCACCAGAGAUACCUGCAAAGAAUAUGGGCUAGAGGUGGUAGGGGAAACACUAAACAGGGCCUAGAGAUCAGAGUCCACUCUGUGUCCCGUUGUUUCUGCCUGACCCAGCAAACAUUUAUUUACCAAACGUUUGCUUUUCCAUCUCCGUGUGAAUGGCCUUCUUCCCCUUUGAAGUCCCAAACCACCACCCCCAACAUGCUCUUUUGUCUUUAGCUGAAGAUGGUAUUUAAGGUGAGCGAUUCAGCUAUUUGGGGGACUUACUCAGUUUUCCUGCAUCUCUCCCAUGUAUACAUGAUAUUAAACUUUGAUUUUCUUCUG